This 227-nucleotide long non-coding RNA is filed under the name Pan troglodytes (chimpanzee). Its description in RNAcentral is "lncRNA (ENSPTRG00000054144.1)". Lineage: Eukaryota; Metazoa; Chordata; Mammalia; Primates; Hominidae. The record is from RNAcentral.
GAUCCUCCACCCAGGAUAAGGUUUCUUGACUGAAAUCUGUUCAUGAAGAUAUCCCACCCACCUUCUACUGCCGCUUGGCAUCCUGAUUUGAGAUGAUUGCUAAAGGAAGAAAGAAAGCAGUUAAUUACCUGGGGAACUUCUGCAGAACUCCUGAAAAUGGAUGCUACAUUGCUAGUGAAGAUGUUUCAGAGUUUCUCAAACUUUGGCAUGCAUAAUAUCACCUGAGA